GUAGGUGGCAAGCGUUGUCCGGAAUUAUUGGGCGUAAAGCGCGCGCAGGCGGUCCUUUAAGUCUGAUGUGAAAGCCCACGGCUCAACCGUGGAGGGUCGUUGGAAACUGGGGACUUGAGUACAGAAGAGGAAAGCGGAAUUCCAAGUGUAGCGGUGAAAUGCGUAGAGAUUUGGAGGAACACCAGUGGCGAAGGCGGCUUUCUGGUCUGUAACUGACGCUGAGGCGCGAAAGCGUGGGGAGCAAACAGGAUUAGAUACCCUGGUAGUCCACGCCGUAAACGAUGAGUGCUAAGUGUUAGGGGGUUUCCCGCCCCCCUUAGUGCUGCAGCUAACGCAUUAAGCACUCCGCCUGGGGGAGUACGGCCGCAAGGCUG
RNAcentral lists this ribosomal RNA (374 nucleotides) under uncultured organism. RNAcentral describes it as "partial 16S ribosomal RNA". It matches the Rfam family "Bacterial small subunit ribosomal RNA", at positions 527 to 896 of the family's 1533-position model. The record is from RNAcentral.